AAAAACACAUUAUCUCACAGCCUGAAUGUUGUUCCUCUACUGGCAAGAGGAAACAACAGCGAUUAUUCUUCUGAAAAGUUAAAUAUUUAGUACCAUUAGAUAUGCAUACGGAGCAAGAUGUUUUCUGUGGUUUGUGCUAACUUGCAAAGCCCACAUUACCUCAAUACCUAAAAUGACACAAAAGUCUUGGACAGUGCUGAACAGUCAUGGAUGGAUAUCUUUAAUGAAAACUAUUUUCAAAGCAUCUUACCCGUGGGCAUCUGGGGACCCCGUGCACCCUCAUAGUCUAUACAAGGAAGAAGAAUACUGGCUCAACACCAAGUAAAUUUGGGAGACUCUAUGGCAAUAAAUGGAAAAUGAUCUGGACUGUAAUCCCUGGCAUUGGUUAGCAGUGUCCGUGAAACGCAGUGCCCAUUUGCCCUGCUCUGUUGGAUGACGUGGGAUAUGAACUAAGAGACACCCAGGAGUUGACUAUCGCACAACCUGAUGCAGGUGGCCUAGCAUCUUAUAAAUGUCUAAUUAGAAAUUUGGAGAGGAUGUCCGUCCAGGACUGCCGCAACCUGCUCAGAGACUAUUCCAUAAUGACAAUUCGGACAUCAAGAAAAAUAGGAUUAACCCCCCAUGUGUUUUGUCUUUCAUCAAAAGUGUGGGCCUCCCUACUUCCUUCUUUCCCAAUCCUCAUUACACUUAUGACUGUCUGUAAUGCUUUGGUGUUUGACUUUGUUGCUUUUAUAAUUUGUGCAGGAAUGUAGUGUAGCAUGUGGUAAGAGUCCUAUGCUGUAUGUUGUACUGUCGCAUAUGUUGUAAUCAUUAAUUGUGUGCUGAUUCCACAGUACAUUGUAUGUAUUUGUAAUG
Long non-coding RNA from Hyla sarda, 855 nucleotides. RefSeq lists it as uncharacterized. The record is from RefSeq and is a predicted model, not a curated record. The transcript has 5 exons. Lineage: Eukaryota; Metazoa; Chordata; Amphibia; Anura; Hylidae.